This is a long non-coding RNA of Mobula hypostoma (lesser devil ray), 1299 nucleotides long. RefSeq lists it as uncharacterized. Lineage: Eukaryota; Metazoa; Chordata; Chondrichthyes; Myliobatiformes; Myliobatidae. The record is from RefSeq and is a predicted model, not a curated record. The transcript is spliced from 4 exons.
GCGAAGAGUAAAAAGCCUGAAUUAUUGAGUGUGAAUCUUCAGACUCCUGUACCUCUUCCCUGAAGGGCACAGUAUGUCAAUGAUAAAAGGAAAGGUGAAAUAUUUGCAUUCAUCUUCAACCAGGUGUCCUGAUGAAGUGUCUCAGCCCGAAAUGUUGACUGUUUAUUCCUUUCAUGCUCACAAGUGGCUCGUUACAAAAAAUUUACUGACAAAAAGCCUGGGUAACUUUCAUCAAUUUACUACGUUGGCUGAGCCUGGGAAUGAUCUCCUGUGUGAAACUGAAAUGGGAGAAAUAAAUAAAAGACCAGUCAGAUUAAUUAGUUAUUCCUCAUUGAACUGAUUGCAGUAGUAGUGAUUGUGGAUCACUUUGCCAAGUUAGUACGACAGUUUCUGAUGAGCUGAACGUUCAACCUGUUAUUCUUUAGAGGAAAGACACAACUCCUCAUCUAUCAAGCAUGAAGCUCUUCUACAAUUACUUAAUGCAGACGGUUCAUGUUAUAGUAGCACUCCCUCACUGUUGUGAGUUUUAAGACUAGGUUUGAUUGGACAUAAUAUGGUUCUUAUUAUGCAAGUGAGCUUGUCCUAGUAAUUAUGAAUAAAUCUGUGAACUUAGUAUAUGAUCUCUCAAUUCUAAUAUUCAGUCACCCGAGAUUUUAUCAAAUGUUGUUGUAUGUAAAUGUUCAUAAAUAUUCUGUAUAAUAAUUCAACAGAUAGGAACAUUAAAUCUUCACCAGUUGUAGGAAAUCGUGAUAAAAGCAAGGAAUUUCAUACACUUUGAAGAAAUAUUUAUCAUUGUGGCAAUUUUCUUUUGAUAGAUGGUGUUGUAAUACAAUAUGUAAAUGUGCGAUGUUUGUAUUUGUUUCUGAGAGGGAAUAGUUUGGACAGCAGGGAAAGGUAAGAGACUGUGUGUUGCAGGCAGACAAUUUUGCUUUGCUGGGACAAUAUAAGAAGGUUCGGAGAGAUUGUUUUGGACAGUACCUUCACAGAAAGGUAAAUAUUAUCCCACAGUGGAGUUGGGUAACAUCUGUUAAUCUCAGCCACUGAUAUUGACAUGUAUUGGAUAACUGGAUUACACACCCAAUGAUUGUACUGCACUAAAAUAUAAAACAAACCAAUGUGACGGUACCUUUAUUUUGUGACUCACACAGUGUAUUUCUGAACACUCAGUAAUAAAGCUGCAUGUCUUUUCUGUAAAAUACCCUUCUGCAGACUGUCGUUUCUGUAUCACUCCCAAAGGCUGUAUGAGUGAGAGAGGUUAUAGCAACUGACCCUGAACAACAGCAGAAAGCUGUGCCUUUA